GGGGGGGGGGGGGGGUUCCUCACCUUCUUCGUAUCCAUUGAAGAGGAUUUCUGUAUUUGAAAGUUGCCCAAAUCAAAUGUCGAGUCCGAAGAACCCUAUCCUGACGGCUCCCACCAUUUUUGACAGGAUACUUUUGAGUUUCUUACAUGUAUCGUUUCUAAUCCUAAACAGCGUCGGAGCAUCUCAACAGAGGAACCUGUCGGAAUUAUAACCCUGACACUAAUCUCAAGAGAGGAACCUAUCGAAAUUAUAACCCUGAAACUAAUCCAAUCUCCAUUUUUUUAUGUUUAUGUUCUGGUGGUUGACGAAUCUUCGCCAUUUAAGGAAGUUCUUCAACUAGAUUUACCCAUGACCAUGUCUAUGUAUAACCUUUCACCAAAUGCAGAGAUUCUUUUCAAUAAAACAGGGGAAUGGUUGUUGUUCUAGGAGUGGAAGAGUUUACAUGUGUAAAGCACAAGAUGUUUCCUGAUUCUCUCAAGUGUUCUUGCUAAAGGUUUGAUAAUUAGGCAAGAUUCUUUAUAUAAAGCUAAAGCAUUCGAUGAAAAAGAUCAAUCAAGAGCCGAUGCAUCUGCUACAUAGAUCUCCUUACCCUUACCAUGCUCUAUCUUCACUGUUCAAUAUCACUGGUCCUCAUAUAAUUACAUGUUGUUCUACAAAAUGUUUAGUUUGAUUUUUCUUUGUUGUGAAUUGGUUUCUUUAUCUGUUGCGUUUUACUAAACUUUAUUGGUAGCUUUAGACUGGUGCAAUUUUUACUUCAGAUCAACACAUGUGGUUUAAUCUGCUCUUUCGUUUGGUCUAGGCUUAUAAUGUUUUGACUAUUAAAAAACACAAUGGGUGGUUAGCGGCAAGGGAGGACAUACUUAUGAGGGAAUGAGGAUUAAAAGAUCACGACUUAAUGGGGAAAACAUAUCAUUUCCCAAAAUUUCUUGAUUCCUUGUGUCUUGUGAUGGGGAAGAUAGUGUUAAAUGGAGCUAUAUCAAUUCAUUAAAAGAGGUUGCAUAUAUAAUUCAUGGAAGCAGUAAAAAUGUUAUGAACAUGUCACAACCUGAUCAGGUUGAAUCAUGGCGCUCUGUUAUGAAUGGUAAACUGGAGACAUAUUAUAUAUUUAUUAUAUUUUUUUUCUUUUUUUCAAACUUUUCAAAUUUACCAGUAUAUACCAACAGGGGUCCCUUUUGAUCUUCUUUGUGCUGAACUGAAAGACCUUGGAAUUUCACAGUAACAUCAAUGUUCAUAAUGUUGUUUUUUUUAAUUUGGUUAACUUUAUACAUUUUUUUAUAUAAUCGCAGCAUUUUCAGGUACAUUUUAGAGGAUACCCAGGAAACAUAUUGAUUCCUUGUGAUGGGGAAGAUAGUGUUAAAUGGAGCUCUGUUAUGAAUGGUAUGCUGAUAAAUAUUUUCAGAUUUUGAAUACUUUAAUAAGCAAAAAGUGAAACUUUCCGAUUUUACCCCUGGUUUCUUGCUGCAACUUUUGCUGUUGGGUUGAAGAAGCUUGGAACAAUUCAAGUUCAAGAAAUUCCCUUUUUUGACGCUGUGAAGAUAACAUGUGCUGAUUCCAGUGUAAUAGUUGAAGAAGCUGAUAAACAUUAGAUGAAUCUUCGUAUUGUAGACAAAAACACUGUAAGUAUGUUUUUAUGUUACCAAAAAACUACAUAAGGUACUUCUUUUUAAUAAUUCACCUUCACCUUUAAACCAGUAAUCGAACUUUCAUCUGAUUUGAUUUCAUGUACCAUGAAUAAGAAGAUGAAGGAGAAUGAUGGAAAGAAGGUAAAUUGAUGUUUCCAUGCUUCUACCUAAUUUUGGCCCUAAUUGAUUGAAUUGCCCAAUUUGCUUUGUUCUUUAUAUUCUUCAUCUCUUUCUGUUACAUGCUAGAUAGAGUUUUUUUUCAAUUUUUUUGUGGAUUAUAGUUGUAAAUAUUUUAUGUUAUUAGGUUUGCUUUUGACUAUAAUUGAAUGUUUUAAUUUCUUUUCUCACACUCAAAAAGUGUUUAUGCAUCUAGCUUGAUAAUAUAUGGUACACCUUGAGAAAAGAUUGAAUAUCUAAUUCUUCAUCUUCUAGAUAUGAAAUAAUGAAUCACAGAAACCAAUUCCUCUUCUCACUAUUGGCUAUCAUGUAAUAAAAUUACAUAUAUACCCUUUUGUUCUAAGCAUUACUUGCUUAACUAAAUUCAGAGUGUGAAAAAUGUGCAUAUACCUGUAGCUUGACAAAAUACGGUACACCUUCAUGUUUAUACUUUUUUCUUAUUUGACCAAAUUUAUCAAAUGUUGUUUAUCUUUUAUAAAUUGCAGGUCUGUGUCAUUGAAAUUGUCACCCAUAUAGCUUCUAUUGUUCUACAACAUCAAAGUUCCAAAAAAAUGUGUUGUACUUUGCAUAGCACGUAAAAAGAUCACAAAAUUUAUAAAAAAUCAUGGCUUUAUGAAAUUAUUUCACAUUUGAACUUUACCUUUACUCGGUCACAAAAAUUUGUGAAAGAGUGGCUAAUAUUAAAACUUGAGUUCAAGCCAUGAAAUGUCUAACCACUUUCUCAGAGGGUGUGGGCCCAACUUUUAUCUUUGAAAGGAUGUUCUAGAUAAUGAAAGAGCACAAGAACUUUCCAGUUUCAAGAUUUUGUUUUAUCUUUUACUUCCAUUACCAUGUUCAACAAUGUUAGGCUUAGUGAAGAGUUGCAUUCGCACAAAAUUCACAAGUGAAUUUGGGUAUCUAAUUACAGUGCUAGCAAGGAUCUUUUAGAUCAAGUGGAGAGAAGUUUAUAGGGGGCGGCUGCAUGGGUUGCAACCAUCGCUUCAGUGAAAGUGGCAACUUUUGUUGUCCUUACCAUGUUUACAAACUAUUGACUACAAAAACAUUUCAAUUGAGAGAUAAAGCCAUGUUAGCAAAGAAAGAUUUGUCAUCCUUCUUAUGGGAAAGUAUCGCUCAAAACCAAUCUAAAUCCUCCUCUUCAUCAUUUCCUAAUAGGAAUGGAUAAUUUUUGGGGUUUCUGAUUGUGAUGGAAGUAUAUGUAGGAUUAUGGCUGUUUAUGAUGGUGAUGGAUGUAAAGAAUAGGGGAUGAAUGCUAAAGGGGUUCCAGUUGAGGAUGAAGCAGGGAGAUCUGAGAAGCAAACUACCAGAUUCAAUGGAAAACCACAAUUGUUGAAAGGAAAGCGGAAAAGAUGGAGUGAAGAAGAAGAAAAAAGAUAUGCUUAGGGUAUGUUGUGAAAUGAAAAUUCAAUGUAAAAUCACAAUUAUCAAAAUACUCAUUGGAGGUGUACUAGUUUUUGAACUUCUUCAAACUUUGACAGUUUUUAUUUCUUUUAGCCUACAGUUUUGUAACUAUACUUGAGCACUAAAUAUUGCAUCAUAAGUUAUAUAAGUAUUUCUACCACAUUA
Non-coding RNA from Lactuca sativa (garden lettuce), 3362 nucleotides. NCBI's taxonomy places the organism in Eukaryota, Viridiplantae, Streptophyta, Magnoliopsida, Asterales, Asteraceae. The record is from RefSeq and is a predicted model, not a curated record.